UGGGGGAUAUUGCACAAUGGGCGAAAGCCUGAUGCAGCGACGCCGCGUGAGGGAAGACGGUCUUCGGAUUGUAAACCUCUGUCUUAGGGGAAGAAAAUGACGGUACCCUAAGAGGAAGCUCCGGCUAACUACGUGCCAGCAGCCGCGGUAAUACGUAGGGAGCGAGCGUUGUCCGGAAUUACUGGGUGUAAAGGGAGCGUAGGCGGGAUGGUAAGUAAAAUGUUAAAACGAUCGGCUUAACCGGUCAGUGCGUUUUAAACUGCCGUUCUUGAGUGAAGUAGAGGCAGGCGGAAUUCCUAGUGUAGCGGUGAAAUGCGCAGAUAUUAGGAGGAACACCAGUGGCGAAGGCGGCCUGCUGGGCUUUAACUGACGCUGAGGCUCGAAAGCGUGGGGAGCAAACAGG
RNAcentral lists this ribosomal RNA (403 nucleotides) under uncultured bacterium. RNAcentral's name for it is "bacterial SSU rRNA". It matches the Rfam family "Bacterial small subunit ribosomal RNA", at positions 355 to 776 of the family's 1533-position model. The record is from RNAcentral.